This 231-nucleotide long non-coding RNA is filed under the name Sus scrofa (pig). Its description in RNAcentral is "lncRNA (multiple genes)". The record is from RNAcentral. Lineage: Eukaryota; Metazoa; Chordata; Mammalia; Artiodactyla; Suidae.
GGGUGAAAGGUGGUAGCAAACUUAGCUUUGAUAAUCCAAGGAGAAAGUUUCAAUAAGCACUCAGUGACACUGCAAUUAUCAGGAAGAGAAGAAAAAUGGAAAAGAAGACUUCAGAAAUAGCAGCAUAGAUGACAUACAGCACAGGUCUUAGCUGGGUCAGUUACGUGUCCACUGUGUCCCCAGGAACCACAAGCAUCAAGUGUCUAGCGGUGGCUGCUCAACUGGCAAAGA